CGGCCAUGACAAUUUCGGCCAGCCAUGUUUCUCCUCACUUUCUUCUCUUGCAAGCAUUGCCUCCCAACUACUCCAAUCAAUAAAUGGGCAGCCACCUUCCUUGGCCAAUGAAAAAGGAGGCAGCCACCCCUCUCCCUCUAUAAAUACCCCCUUGGCCGGCCACCACCUCCCCCUUUGCUCAUUUUCUUCACUCUCCACUCCCUCACACUCUCCUCCACUCCUCCACCACGAAAUGCUGCUCCUCCUAGCAACCAUGGCCGGCCAUGUCCAUGGAAACCUCCCCAAGAUGCAACUCCCUCCUUCCUCAAGCUUCCCCUCACCAUGAGAGCUUCCCUCUCCCUCUCUUCUCCCCUAACCCUAGAUGAAUCCAGCUCUAUUUCUCCUUUCUCCUCUCACUAGAUUGGAUCUUGAUGCAGGUGUAUGUUGGUCCAAGCAUGGAGAAGGUUGAGCUAUCUUCAGAUCUGAAGUUCUUGAGCAAAAUCCAAAUCGAGUGAUUCAAAGUUCCGCAGAUAAUUAUUAACAAGAUCUACAAUUUGGCGUUGGUCUCAUCCUCAAAUUCGUUACGGAUUUUGCAUGAUCAAGUUCUGGUCAGAUCUGACUUUGUCGAAUUAAACCAGGAGCUUGGAAACUAGUUUUUGGAUGAAACCAGUUGGGGGAUAUUUGGUUUAUACCAUGGUGAUAACCGAGAGAGGCAAUUGCUAAGUUGUGAUGCACUCAUACCUUUACUAGAUGCGAACAAUUCUGGAGAAGAAGAAGAAGUGGAAUCGGACGAGGAUUUUAUUUAUAUAUGUUGUUGGAAUUCUUAUAUUGAUGGAGUCGAAGAAGUACAGGGACAAAUAAGCCAAGGCAAGCCAUCUCUUGAUCUCUGAAUAUUGAAUCACAUAUGGUGGUUACUUUGUUAUUAUUAAUAUCUCUCGAUCUAUCUUGUGUGAUUUCUACUUUGGUUGUCGGAGAAUGCUUACCGUGAGCAUGUUUACUCUCUUUGGCACCUCGCCGACAAACCCCUUUUUGUAAAUGGUGGUUGUCAACACCAUGAUCUUGGUGUACCCUCUAAAUGUGAUGGGUAUGCCCACUUGUCUUGUGUGUGUCGACCUCUUGACACCCUUUUUGCACCCCAUAGUGGUAUGGUGGUUAGCAUCAUGCCCUUGUCGUAUCUUAAACCCCUUGUUGAUUCCAUGCAUACUUACUCCCAAGUUUGUGAACCCCUUGUUGCUGUUAUACAUACUUACUCUCGAGUGUGUUGAACCCCUUGUUGAUCUUAUGCAUGCUUACUCUAAGCAUGUAUGCCCCCUUGACCACCUAUAUUAUCAUCUUCUUAGUGGUAUGAUGAUUAACAUCAUGACCCUUGUUGAAUCAUGCUAUUUAUGA
This is a long non-coding RNA of Lolium perenne, 1368 nucleotides long. RefSeq lists it as uncharacterized. NCBI's taxonomy places the organism in Eukaryota, Viridiplantae, Streptophyta, Magnoliopsida, Poales, Poaceae. The record is from RefSeq and is a predicted model, not a curated record.